CGGAUCUCACGGCGGAGACCCGGGAAAAUAAAAUAAAAUAAGGAACUAUUCUGACCAUGAGACAUCAUUCAACAGCGUAACACAGUCGGCGCUUUCACUCUCUUACAGCAAACGUAUCACAGCAUCAGAUCAACAGGGGACAUUACGACAUUUGCAGGUACACAUUCAAACAUAAAUCAAAGGUAGCGGAUUCGUUGAUCCGGACUCUAUCGUACCACGUUAUGACUGAACAAAUCAAAUAAACAUCAAGUUCAUAUCAACACGCUAAAUUAGUCUGCCCAGAAAACCAGUGUUACUGUUUGAUGGGCGUUGGUCAUCAGCUUCCAGCUGACUGAGGACAGUUGAGCUCCGCGUAGGGAAACUCAGUGGAUGAAGGCGAUUUCGGCCGUGGGGUCUGAACUUCUCGUUGGGAACAGAGGCGGCGGGGGGUCAGAGAGCAGCUGUCUCUCCGGUCCUCUGGAGUCAACAGGAAUGAAAUCAAAAGGGAAAAGGAAGCGGGACGUAGUGGAGCGCGAGUCUUGAGUUCGUCCAGCGAGAUUAAGACUGAAACUUGGGAAUUGGAGGGAAAGAAAAGAAACCAAACAACGUUGUGUUGUCUCGAUCUGUCACUAACGGGAAGUCAGGCGAAAGAGAUCGAUCCUUUGGCGCAAUCUCUUCUUAUGAACUUGAGGUCCAUGAAUAAAUGUCACUGUCCUCGGCCAAUGGGAGCGCUCGGUGUUCUUUGGUACGUCCUCUUUUUAUGGCCAAGGGGGUCUGGAGAGCUGCAGGGGUCCUGUUAUCAGCCCCUGGCAUCAGGCCACGGGGGACCCCUAUAUGUUUGUGUCCUUCCUUUGUCCUCAGUGAAGAAACACGUGGUGAGGUUCAUUAGCAGGGUGGAGGCCCAACAUCCCCUUUGCAUUAAAAGGUCACAGACAUUUGUUUGUUUCUGAUAACACAUGUGACUAAUUAUGAGGACAUCAGCAUACUUCAUCUAUAAACAGAGACUCUGGGGAACCGGAGGAGGAA
Gasterosteus aculeatus aculeatus (three-spined stickleback) is the source of this 1005-nucleotide long non-coding RNA. NCBI's taxonomy places the organism in Eukaryota, Metazoa, Chordata, Actinopteri, Perciformes, Gasterosteidae. The record is from Ensembl.